GACGAACGCUGGCGGCGUGCUUAACACAUGCAAGUCGAACGGAAAGGCCCUGCUUUUGUGGGGUGCUCGAGUGGCGAACGGGUGAGUAACACGUGAGUAACCUGCCCUUGACUUUGGGAUAACUUCAGGAAACUGGGGCUAAUACCGGAUAGGAGCUCCUGCUGCAUGGUGGGGGUUGGAAAGUUUCGGCGGUUGGGGAUGGACUCGCGGCUUAUCAGCUUGUUGGUGGGGUAGUGGCUUACCAAGGCUUUGACGGGUAGCCGGCCUGAGAGGGUGACCGGCCACAUUGGGACUGAGAUACGGCCCAGACUCCUACGGGAGGCAGCGGUGGGGAAGAUUGCACAAGGGGCGGAAGCCUGAUGCAGCAACGCCGCGUGCGGGAUGACGGCCUGCGGGUUGGAAACCGCUUUCGCCUGUGACGAAGCGUGAGUGACGGUAAUGGGUAAAGAAGCACCGGCUAACUACGUG
RNAcentral lists this ribosomal RNA (468 nucleotides) under uncultured bacterium. RNAcentral describes it as "partial 16S ribosomal RNA". It matches the Rfam family "Bacterial small subunit ribosomal RNA", at positions 28 to 507 of the family's 1533-position model. The record is from RNAcentral.